RNAcentral lists this long non-coding RNA (265 nucleotides) under Lathyrus oleraceus (garden pea). Its description in RNAcentral is "Pisum sativum (pea) long non-coding RNA (PSAT_LNC025321)". Lineage: Eukaryota; Viridiplantae; Streptophyta; Magnoliopsida; Fabales; Fabaceae. The record is from RNAcentral.
GUUUUGUUCCAAGGAAACCUCAGAGUGUUUUGCUUCUCUUCCUUUUUCUGUCUGUUCUCCCUCUUUUAUAAUCUGAUUUUCAUGGCUUUGUGGGCUCAAAUGAGAGAGGUCCAAGUCUGAGAUUUUUUUCUUUUAUUUUUUAAUUUUUUUUAUUUAUUUAAUUAAUUAAUUAAUUUUUUUUUUAAAUAAAGUUUAGGAUCUGAUUCUGAUUGACAUGAUGAAAUGCAAUGUAUCUAAUGUUAAAUGACCUAAAAAUGAAUGCGUG